AUGGAGUACUACGCAGAUAUUAAAAACAANGNAUUUAUGAAAUUNUUAGACAAAUGGAUGUAUCUGGAGGGGACGAAGAGCCAAUGGGGAGAAGAGAAUCUUCAGGCUCUGAGCAUCCAGGAGGGUGAAGAUGUCACCAUGAACUGUAGUUACAAGACUUACACAACUGUUGUACAGUGGUACAGACAGAAGUCAGGCGAAGGCCCUGCCCAGCUAAUCUUAAUACGUUCAAAUGAACGAGAGAAGAGCAGUGGAAGACUCAGAGCCACCCUUGACACCUCCAGCCAGAGCAGCACCCUGUCCAUCACUGGUGCUCUAGCUACAGACACUGCUGUGUACUUCUGUGCUACAGAUGCACAGUGUGGGACAGGCACCUGCAGCCCUGACACAAACCUCAGAGCUGCUUCCUAG
Molecule: non-coding RNA, 411 nt
Organism: Mus caroli (Ryukyu mouse)
Lineage: Eukaryota; Metazoa; Chordata; Mammalia; Rodentia; Muridae
Source: the annotation of a RefSeq genome assembly